UUUUUUGAGUUCCUUAUGUAUUCUGGAAAUUAAUCCUUUGAUACAUAGGUUGCAAAUAUUUUCUUCUAUACUGUAGGUUGUCUCUACUCUAUUGAUUGUUUUAUUUGCUGUGCAGAAUCCUUUUAGUUUGGUGUAAUCCCUUUUGUCUAUGUUGGCUUUUGUAGUUUGUGCUUUUGAAGUUUUAUCUAAAGAAUAUUUUUCAAGGACAAGUCAUGAAGCAUUUUCUCUGUAUUUUCUUCUGUUAGUUUCAUAGUUUAGGACCUUACUUUCAAGUCUUUAAUCCAUUUUGCGUUGGUUUUUUGUGUAUGGUGAAAGACAGGUUCUAGUUUCAUUUAUCUGCAUGUGGAUAUCCAGUUUUCCAAGCACUGGAUAUUGAAGAGAGUGUCUCUUCCCCACUUUCAUAUAUUCCUAGUUUACAUCUUUCCAUAAUGUCUCCUCUCUGAAGAUAUCUCCUAUUACUCUCUUCUUGCAAUCUCUGUAAUAUCACAAUCUAUUUUUCAAUAAGCCAGUUUCCAGAAAUGCUCAAAAUUUGAGACUAUAAAUUAUCUCUGUGUAUAGUAAUUCUUCAGUUGGUUGAACAGUAGUUAGGAACCUUCUUGCUGUUGAUUCAUCUUCUAAUACCCACACAGGUGUAGGAACAUGAAAAUAGAACAAUGCAAGAACACCUCACAUUGCAUCGCAACUGACAAUUUCAUGGAAAAAAAAAUAAACCACUUCCUUAGCUUUGGAAAGGACGAACUAGUUAAUGAGGUAGUGGAUAAUUGUAUGUAAAUUUUUUAAUUGAGCAGUGUUCUGUAGAAUCAGAGAGACCUGCAUUUGAAUCCUGAUUUUUUUUCUUUUCUAGAUGUAUUAAAUUGUUCAAGUUAUUUAACUUUUCUGUUACACAGUUUGCUCAUCUAUGCUAGUAAAACAAGCCUACAGGUUAUUGUGAAAAUUGAAUUAGUAUGAAAUUUUUGAGAGACAUGUAUAUGGCACAUAGUAGGGCAUCUAUAUGUAUAUUCCUUUUAUUUGUGGCAGCAGUGAACAGAUACCAUCUUAUUCAUUUAAUUAUUCUGGAAAUAGCUCUUUGAUUUUGAGGCUCAUUUCUCAAAGUCAGCGAUUAUUUUUAAUGCUGAGAAUGAAUGGCAGAGUGGGCUUUGUUUGCAUUUUUAUCAUGUAAAGUUUAAUGUAAGAUUUAUAAUAGUGUAUAAAAUAAUAAAUGCCUUGUAAAAAUAAAUGUGUGUGUAACAGACAACUCAGAGAAAAUGGAACAUAGAAAAUUCUCUUUUAUGUAACAUGUAAUUAACCUGUAGAAGAUUUUCCUGUAUCUAGUUAGACAACUAACUAAUUGCUGAGCCAGUUAAACAAUUGGACAGAUAUGAAAUUAACAUUAAUAGGGAAAUAUGACUGUGCUUUAGGGAAUAUGCUUAUCAGAAAUAAAGUAUGUGCUUAGGAUUUAUGGUUAUGCCACAUUCUGCCCAUGGCUGUAAAUUUCUUUCUAGCACCUUGGCUAUUGUUGUGGGUCUGUGUGAGCUACCACCAAGUUGGAAGCCAGCUAAUAUCCAAGAAUGUUUUCUCUGAUCUCCACCCAUUAUCUUUUCUUUUUGGUUAACUGACAUCCAGGGAGGCUCACUUGACCUGAGAACAAGGAACAGUUUUUAGUAAAAAGUACCAGACACAGGCAUAUACUUGCUUCCUACUGAAACAGAAACUAUAUUAUUACAACUCUUCCAGAGUCUACAGAGGAAGUUCAGAAGUUCCUGCAUCAGGGGACUGACUCUACCAAAUUUUCAACUCACAAGUAGCAUUCCCCACGAAUUGCCCUACCUGGAGUUAUCUAUUAACAAUUAAAGAACUGAAGAAAAGCUUUAUGGUCUGGAAUCUCAAGGAGAUAGAGUGGAAGAGUUUGCGUGCAGGUGUGUGCUUGAAUAUGUCAGUGUUUGUCCUACUCAUUCCAUCACUUCCAAGUGUUUCUGGGAUGGUGGCUUCCACUCAUGAAGAACUUAAGAAGUGGAGUGGUGUUGGCUUUGACAGAGAACCUGAGGUGUGUUCUCCACUAAUCAGGGUGUGCCGUGCUACUAAAAUUGCAUUUCUGGCACUUGCUUUCCCACUCUGUCCCUUAAGGCAAAGUUACUGUGACAGAAUAAAGAGUGGGAUAGAAGAAUAAAUUCUGGCUUUGAAAUAUUAGAUAUGGUUUCCUCCCCUUUUCAUGUUUCAAACCCUCAGAAAAAUUUGAAGAUUUCACUGGGUAUCAAUCUCCAAUACAUAAUAUAAUAAUAAUAAUAAUAAUAAUGAAGUAAUUGCUUUACGAGGAAUAAAAAUAUGGGUAAGACAUUGGAGUCUUAGCCUCUUACCAUGGAGACUUUGGCAUUAUCAUAAUUUUCUUACUAUAUAUUCUCGUGGUUUAUAAAUCUCUCCUCAGUAAUCUCAUUGCCAGUUUUCCCCAAACUCAGUCAUCUUAUGAGUGAAUGCCAAAUUCAUCUUCUUGAAUCAUGUGACUCCUUAUUUACAACACUUCCAAAGUCCGUUCAUGCCAUUCCUCAAUUCCAAUACUUUCAAAGACUUCUCAUUUCCUACAAUUAAGACUCAUUUUUUUCUGCAUGGCAUUUAAUGUCCAAUAUCUAAACUCACUUCUCUCUUCUUUCUUUAGUGAGCUGUACUCUCAGGUUUUCUCAACUGGAGUGCUUUAGGCUUUUCUAGGGGCAACAACAUUUUGUUCUGUGUCACUAAUUACAGAAUUAUUAGCCUUCUUGGCUUCAGUGCAGUUAAUGUCAACAACACUUCUCAGUCAUUGUGACAACCAAAACUGCUCCCAUCAACUUCUGAAACCCCAAGGUGGUAUGCUUUACUCCCCUUCAAGAUCUGCUCUUGAACUUUAUUUGCCUUCCUGCCUUCAUUCCCUGUUCCUGCUGUUUCCUUAGCAUGAAAUAUCACUCCCUCACAUCUUCAUACCCUUAUCCAUGAUGCAUUAAUGAAGUUAACCUUGAUCCUUAGUUCAAAGAGAUUUCUUCUUCUUCUUGAACUUCAAAGGCGAUUCACUGAGUGCUUACCACAUAUCAGGCAUUCUUGUCAGGCGCUUUCUAUUGCAUAAUUUCCACUUAAAAUUGUGCUUCCUUGCUCAUAGUCAGUUGUGCUGAAAUUUGCCCACUUUGGAAGGACAACACCUCCCUCCCUCUACCAUCUUCCUCCCACCAGAGGGAAAGUUAGAGGUGAAAUAUAAGAUCUUUAGUAAUAUUAGUACUUAGCUUCCAGCUGUUUCUGAGGUACAAAUCACCCUUUACUAACUUUCAUAAAGUCAGUAUAUGGACUUAGCUACUGCCUAGACUUGUCAUUUUCUUUCCUCAUCUUCUAUACCAGAUCAAUGUGCCCUUACGUCAACAUCUGUAUCUGAUCUCUCUUCUUAUUUCCUAAGAACCCCAGCAGAGUGCACUGGGCUCUCAAAUAGGCCUCAAAAAUACUUGCUGUAAAACCCUGGAUACUCAAAUAAUGACCAAUGUAUUCCAAUUUUAAGUGCUUAUUUAAAAGAGUAAAGAUGUCGAAUUUCAAAAUCUUGACUAUUGGGGCAAAGGUUGGAUGAGAGCAGCUUAAAACCUUAAAACUAAAGUAUUUAAUGGCAUUAAUUUCAAUGUUUUAAGCAAAUAUAUAAAUAAUGCUAUACACUAAAACUAACGUAAGAUGCCAGGAAAAGUCUAACACUUUGAGGAUGUUAAGGUGUAAUGAUUCAGAAAACAUAAAGAAGGAUGAUUGCACAACUCCCAUUAACAUCAGUGAAAUUCAUAUGGUAAAAUUAACACUUACCUCAGUGGAAGCAUGACCUCAGCUGUCAUUGGGCAUGUUACUUUUCAUGGUGUGUGCUUUUCUCCUUUAAUUUCAGGCAAUUUAAUUUUCUGCCCAUUUCACAAAGAAAUGUCAGACUGAAAGACUGGAGCAUUGAUGUUGAACAUCUUUCUUCACACAUUGUACUUACAGUAAAAUUGAUUUUGUUAUCCUUGAUAUCACUAAAGGCAAGAAAUGCAAUAUUGUUUCAUGUAAACUCACCUUUUAAAGUAGGAAUUUAAGCACAAAUGACAGUCAUAUUCAUAAAACAUCUUAGUAGGAAUGUGAAAUUUUAAAAGUAAAUUUUAAGAAAAGUAAUAAGUAAAUUAUAAUAAAAAGUAAAUAAAUUUCAAAAAGCCAUUAUUGAAAAACAGUAAUAUUUUUGUGUUCCUCUAAAAUUUCAGGAUGCACUAUAUAGAAAUUCAAAAAUAAUGAAUACAUGGAUUCUGUGUUUCUAUUAAUUUUCAUAAGUCAAAUAUAGAAUAAUGGUUAAGAGGACAGUCUCUGAAUCUAGACUGUUCACAGAUUGGCUCUACCAGUUACCACCUCUGUCAUCUUAAGCGAGUUACAUCAUGUUGCUGGACCUGUUUCCUUGUUGAGUAAUUGUAAAUACUGGAAUUACUCCUUCAUAAGAUUGUUGUGAAGGUGAAAUAAAUGCAUUUAAAGCACUUUUAAGACUGCUUAGCACACAGUGAAUGGAAAAUAAAUGUUCAUUAUCUAUAUUAUCUUAUUUUAAACAUGAUAGAGAUUUUGUUGGAAAAAACUAAAGAUAAACCAACAGUUAUAACACUAGUUUCCCUAUUAUGCUCUUUCAAAAUGUAUGUGACAUGAUUAUUAUUUGUAUUAUAUGAAGGAAAAAGAAAUCAAUAUAACAUGUAUGUUAUAUAAUUAUUUUUGAGGACUUGAUUUGUAAAUCUCAGUAAAUAACCAAGAAUGGAACCUAUUACUUAAUCUGUAUGAAAUGUUUUAUCUACUUACCCCUCUCUUAACCCAAGACAUCUAUUCAAUCAAGCUGCUUGAGGAACAUUUAUUGUGAAAUUUUGCAUGCUUAUCACCUAAUACUACUGGCUUAGCACUAGUAGGCACUCAGUAAAUAUUUGUUUAACCCAUUAACCUUUAUCAAAACAAAUAUUCCAAUUUAUUCAUAUAUCACUCCAUCUAGCCAGUGCACCCAAGCAUCCUUCGCCAUGUCCUGGAGUUUUUUCUCUUUUGUCUUUGAGGAGCAAUUUGAGCUUCCCUACCUCCUGAAUUCUUUGCAGUGCUGCUAGUCCACCCUAAUCUCUGCCGACUCAAACCUCUCUCAACGCAGUUCAGAGCGAUAGAGUUUACCACUACAGUGACUUAGAUGUAUGUUGAAUUUGAUCUUUAAAUAAAUCAUAUGCAUCUUAAGGGCACAGAUGAAUUUGAUGCUUCUUAUGUGACAUCUUGCAGUUGUUGUUAACUAAUAAGUAUUAAUUGAUAAUAAUCAACAACCAAAUGAGUGCUUAUUCUUACCUGCCAUGUUAAUCUCUCCAUUUGAAUCUACUUGAAUUAUUCUCUUUUUGUUUCAGUGUUGGAGUGUAAUUGUUCCAGCAUAAAAGAAAGGAAGAUUUGCCAUAUUAUACCAUAUUAUAAACACACACACACACAUACACACAUUGUGUCACUCAUACUUACAAACAUAUACAUACACAUAUAUAUUUUCAUGGGAAAUUAUGGCGGGAUUCUGACUACUAACUCAGAAACACUAAAUUAGUGAAUAUUUCCCCUAUACUCAUAGAUGAACUGGAGAUUAAUUCAGUUUUCCCUGUACUCAGUUUCUCUUGUUAUAGGAGAAGGGGGAUGGUAGAGCAAAUAUUUUGGAGUUCACUAUGGGUCUGACGUAGCUAAAAAUUAGUUGUAGAAAUCAUUAAGAUGGAAUUGAUGUAAUUUCACUUUCCAUUCUAACAUGGCAUUUUGCAUUUCUAAAAACUUGACUUAGCUGGACCGGAGUUUCUAAAGAAUUACUUAGAGAUUCAAACUUUUGUUCAGAGUUAAUGAAACAAUGCAGUGCUUUACUAUAUAUAUUAUAACCAAAUAUUUUAUAAUAAAGAUAGCUGACAUGAACUGAAGGAGAAACUGUUUUAUCCGCAUUUUAUAUAUGAGGAAAUUAAAAGCCCAAGAAGUUAAAUAAUUACUCAAGAAAUGGAUAAGCCAGGAAUUGAACUUAGGAAGUUGGCCCCAAAGCCCACACUUACACUAUACUGCUGACACUACUGACAGAUAUCACUAGUUACCUAAACAAGAAUCCAUGCCACCCACUUCCUUUCUGAGAUCCCAUCUGUGUGACAUUCAUGUUCUUAGUCUCUCUAAAGGCAAGAAUGGAUAUAUAACCUAGUUUUGGCCGAUGGAAUUGGAAGAAAUGCCUUCCAGGUCUUUCAUUUUGUACCCUGUGGGAAAAUAAAAAAGAAAGAGUCGUUGAAAGAAGGUCAGUUUUCCCCUAAUUUUAGACAUUGAUGUGUGAAGAUGCAAUACUUGGAGCUUCUGUAGCCGUACUGUAACUGAAAAGAAGGUCAAGAAAAUUAUAGAAGAAAUGACUCAGAGGCCAUACAUUUUUAAGCAUCUGAACCAACCCUGUACCUCUUUUCUUAUGAAAGUCUUGUCUGUGAGAAUAGUAAUCUUUAUUGUUUAUUGCUAUUUUUUAUAUUCUUACCUGCGCUUCUCCUAACAGAUGAAAAUAUGAAUUUCUAAUUUCUAAGAUAUUUUAAAUUCUCAGAUUCUAUAAAAAUGACAUUUUAUUUAUUCUUAUAAAAAAUUAGUAUUCCCAAAUGAGGAUUUCUAAGCAGCUUAAAUUCUUUUGGGUUUUCAAAUGGAUAUGAUUAUAUUUUUAAGACUGUUUUUUUUUAUUUUUUAUUUUUUGUUUUUCUAUAUAUACUUUAUUCUCUUGACCAGACAUGGAAUACACACACACACACACACACACACACAUUGAUACACUGGUUUUUCUUUAGUUUCUUCCAAUAAAAUCCCUAUCAUGUUUAAAAUAAGAUAAUAUAGAUAAUGAACAUUUAUUUUCCAUUCAGUAUGUGCUAAGCAGUCUUAAAAGUGCUUUAAAUUAAUUUAUUUCAGCUUCACAACAAUCUGAUGAAAUACAACAAUUUUAGUUUUUGAAGUUCAGUUUUUAUUAAAUAUUUUUGAGAUUAGAUAACCACCUUGAUUCAUGAAUGAUUAGUUUGCAAAAAUGUUUUAAAUUAUAUUGAAAAACUAGACCAAAAAAACCUUGAUUUUUAGAAUGUGGAUCUAUUUGACUUUUUAUUUCAUAUAAGAAUCACUGUUAGAAAUAUGAAAGUAUAUUUCAGCUUAAAGGUAGUGACAUUCCCCUUCCCUAUAUUUAAAUUGAACCUAAAUUAAACUUGUAUUAAUCAGUAUCUGUCACAUGAACUCUACCAGCUCCCUUUCACCUAAACAAACAGUCACACACAACAAAAUAGAAAUCUUUUCUCCUCCUUAAAGACUUCAUCUUCAGAUAACCCCAUACUUGUCCACAUUGCCCUACUGGCCUUUCUCUGACCAGAUUGAAGAUAAGAAUUAAAAUCAUUUAAGGAGAUUUCAGAUCUAUGUAAGACACAGUAAUCUUUUCCCAGUUUGUCUGAAUUUGUGUUUGCUUUCAUAAAACAUUGGUUUAUUAGGAGAUAAACAUUUUAAAUAUUUGAAAAUGCCAUCUUCAUUUAAAGCUAAGAGUUUAAUUUCAUUGUGGUAAGCUGGGAUGUGAAGACUUAGAUUUAUUAACAUUAAUAGAAGCAAAUGCUUAAUUUCUAAGCCAUUAAGAUAAGAUAACCAUUCCUUCCAGAGAAUUUCAAUUGAAGAUCAGAAAGUCCUUAGUUAAGGCUGCCACUUACUCUAUAAUUUACUUAUAGUGCCUAACUACCUAUGACGUCAAAGUACAUAAUGCUACAGCCCAUUUCAAAUGAGUCUUUAAUGACAAAGUGACAGUUUCAGCCUUCUGUAAAUAAAAGCACUGAGCAAAACUCAGAGGUUUAGAUGUAUCACUGUGAUCACUCUUUACAAUAUGAAAUAUUGAAGACAACAAAUUGAUAAGAAUGACAAAGACAACACAUCAUAUAAUGUCUUCUGAAGAUUCUAUUAAAGACACAUUUAAAUACGUGUGUUUGACUCCAGUGAAGAAAGCAUUUGACUCUAGUGAAGAUCCCAUUUGGGACUGGAAGUAGCACCCAUUCUCUAAGUACAUAAUAGGGGUUCAAUAAAAAUUUACUUGUUUGCACUGGGAGCAGUGGCUCACACCUGUAAUCCCAGCACUUUGGGAGGCCAAGGUGGACGGAUCAUGAAAUUAAGAGAUCGAGACCAUCCUGGCCAACAUGGUGAAACCCCGUCUUUACUAAAAAUACAAAAAUUAGCUGGGCAUGGUGACACAUGCCUGUAGUCCCAGCUACUCAGAAGGCUGAGGCAGGGGAAUCGAUUUACCCAGGAGGCAGAGGUUGCAAUGAGAUCAUGUCGCUGUACUCCAGCCUGGUGACAGAGUGAAACUCCGUCUGAAAAAAAAAAAAAGAAAGAAAAAAAGAAAAAACUUACUGGUUUGAAUUACAUGGGGUGAUGGAGUGGAAAAGGAGAGGGGAUGGAUUGGGAAAGGUGUAGCCUCAGGAAAA
Macaca mulatta (Rhesus monkey) is the source of this 8417-nucleotide non-coding RNA. NCBI's taxonomy places the organism in Eukaryota, Metazoa, Chordata, Mammalia, Primates, Cercopithecidae. The record is from RefSeq and is a predicted model, not a curated record.